This 352-nucleotide unclassified non-coding RNA is filed under the name soil metagenome. RNAcentral's name for it is "partial contains 5.8S ribosomal RNA, internal transcribed spacer 2, and large subunit ribosomal RNA". The stretch from base 1 to 120 matches the Rfam family "5.8S ribosomal RNA", at positions 35 to 154 of the family's 154-position model. The record is from RNAcentral.
GAUGAAGAACGCAGUGAAACGCGAUAUGUAAUGUGAAUUGCAGAAUUCAGUGAAUCAUCGAAUCUUUGAACGCACAUGGCGCCUUCCAGUAUCCUGGGAGGCAUGCCUGUCCGAGCGUCGUUUCAACCCUCGAGCCCCUGUGGCCCGGCGUUGGGGAUCUGCCACGGCAGGCCCCUAAAACCAGUGGCGGAACCGAAGGGCCCUCUCCUUUGCGCAGUAGCAUUCGCCUCGCAUCGGGAGCCCUCGGCGUCCUGCCUCUAAACCCCCCACAAGCCCGCUUCGGCGGCACCAAGGUUGACCUCGGAUCAGGUAGGAAUACCCGCUGAACUUAAGCAUAUCAAUAAGCGGAGGA